RNAcentral lists this ribosomal RNA (440 nucleotides) under uncultured bacterium. Its description in RNAcentral is "partial 16S ribosomal RNA". It matches the Rfam family "Bacterial small subunit ribosomal RNA", at positions 338 to 795 of the family's 1533-position model. The record is from RNAcentral.
CCUACGUGUGGCUGCAGUGGGGAAUAUUGCACAAUGGGGGAAACCCUGAUGCAGCAACGCCGCGUGAGUGAAGGAGUAUUUCGGUAUGUAAAGCUCUAUCAGUAGGGAAGAAGAAAGACGGUACCUGACUAAGAAGCCCCGGCUAACUACGUGCCAGCAGCCGCGGUAAUACGUAGGGGGCAAGCGUUAUCCGGAUUCAUUGGGCUAAAAGGGAGCGUAGGCGGGCGUUCACGUCAGCUGUAAAAUCGCGCGGCUCAACCGCGCCCCGCAGUUGAAACUGGACGCCUUGAGUUCACGACAGGCAGGCGGAAGUCGUGGUGUAGCGGUGAAAUGCAGAGAUAUCACGAGGAACCCCGAUUGCGAAGGCAGCCUGCCGGGGUGCGACUGACGCUGAGGCUCGAAGGUGCGGGUAUCAAACAGGAUUAGAUACCCUAGUAGUC